Molecule: long non-coding RNA, 1128 nt
Filed under: Rattus norvegicus (Norway rat)
Lineage: Eukaryota; Metazoa; Chordata; Mammalia; Rodentia; Muridae
Description: long non-coding RNA NONRATT016396
Source: RNAcentral
AUCAGGUUCCCCUCUGGAACCUUAUCUGUGGUUUGUCACUUUGACUGUUCACUGUGUAAAAGCUUCCCUUGCAUUGCCUAUCUCUAAAGAAGAGUGUCUUUUGCCCUACAGUAGAAAUUCUGUUAAGAAGAGGAGCGCUUCAGCAGAGUAAUGGUCAUUUUCCCAAAACCCAGGAAAUACAUUUCACACCAAAAUGAAUGCCUUCACCUAACCCUGCAGUGCUGCAUGGAGCCCCUCGCACUCCAGCCACACCCUGGCCAAGCUGGGCUUUCCUGGUAGAAUGGAGAUACUUGGAAGCACUCUUCAUCUCAGGUCACGCCUGUCUAUCAGUGGGUGCCUAUGAGUACAAACCAUCUCUCAGCUGAGAAAGGGAAGCCGCACUGGUCCUGAAGAAGUGUCUGAUGCCUGCUUCCCUUCCCGUCCAGUGUCUUUCGAGAGAUGAGAUGGCUGUAGCAUCCUUCCAUUGGGAAGCUUAAGAGUCCUAUCUACAGCACAAAGCUACCCCCUCCCACCCAGGACUCCCAGGGACAGAAAGCAUUGUCAGCCCAGGGGUGCAUUUAUCAGAUCGAGCGAUUCAUUAUUAUCCUUUCUUUGUUUUACCUCCAGCAGACGCUUAGCUCCAUGUUUGGCUACCUCAGCGUUGGGGAAUUACCACGAUGCCAGCAGUAUAGGGAACUUUCACCUCUGAACUUUCAGUUUAUCUUCUGAGGACAGAGCAAUUGUUCUUAACUGGCUUUCUGUUUCUAGUUGACAGCUUCCGAGCCUGACUACCUGUGGCCUUCAGGUUAGGAAGUGAAUACAGUGAGGGAUGGCACGACGUCAUCGUGUGUUGUAGCCAGGCAGCUUCUAUGCCAAAUUUCACUCAGCUAUAAUUGAUCUGUUGAGGCUAUUGUCUGUAAGUUAGAUAGUAUAAUAUGUACAAAAUAUAUGCCUAUCCUCCCCAAUAGGAAAUAUCAGUGUUCUUUCUCCCCACCUCUUCUCCCUCCUUUUCUUUUACUGGUAUUUUUUUUCAUAAUUUUAAAGUCAUCCAUUUACUAAAUAUGUGGCUUAAAAUACAGUAAUUGUUUUAAAAGUCUUUUCAAUAAGAAAAAAAGUUUUUUUUAAUAAAGUAAGUCCUUGUUUUCAGUA